This 524-nucleotide ribosomal RNA is filed under the name uncultured bacterium. RNAcentral's name for it is "bacterial SSU rRNA". It matches the Rfam family "Bacterial small subunit ribosomal RNA", at positions 8 to 525 of the family's 1533-position model. The record is from RNAcentral.
AGGGUUUGAUUAUGGCUCAGGAUGAACGCUAGCGGCAGGCUUCAUACAUGCAAGUCGAGGGGCAGCAUAAAUUACUUGUAAUUUGAUGGCGACCGGCGAACGGGUGCGUAACGCGUAUGCAACUUACCUUUUACUAGAGAAUAGCCAAGAGAAAUUUUGAUUAAUGCUCUAUACACUUAUUAAUUCUCAUGAAUCUAUAAGAAAAGCUCCGGCGGUAAAAGAUGGGCAUGCGUCCUAUUAGCUUGUAGGUGAGGUAACGGCUCACCUAAGCUCCGAUAGGUAGGGGUCCUGAGAGGGAGAUCCCCCACACUGGUACUGAGACGCGGACCAGACUUCUACGGAAGGCAGCAGUAAGGAAUAUUGGACAAUGGAGGCAACUCUGAUCCAGCCAUGCCGCGUGAAGGAAGACGGCCUUAUGGGUUGUAAACUUCUUUUAUACAGGAAGAAACCUUUCCACGUGUGGAAAGCUGACGGUACUGUAAGAAUAAGGAUCGGCUAACUCCGUGCCAGCCGCCGCGGUAAUU